AUUCAGCUGACGAGUCCGGAACAGGAUGAAACGCGCGUCCUGGAU
RNAcentral lists this non-coding RNA (45 nucleotides) under Schistosoma margrebowiei. Lineage: Eukaryota; Metazoa; Platyhelminthes; Trematoda; Strigeidida; Schistosomatidae. The record is from RNAcentral.